RNAcentral lists this long non-coding RNA (1300 nucleotides) under Ictidomys tridecemlineatus (thirteen-lined ground squirrel). Its description in RNAcentral is "lncRNA (ENSSTOG00000030970.1)". The record is from RNAcentral. Lineage: Eukaryota; Metazoa; Chordata; Mammalia; Rodentia; Sciuridae.
GUUUUUUGUGCGUCAGGAGACCCGACUGACUGGUGGGUACUAGUUAGUAUGUAUGCCAACCAGUAUGUCUCCAUUUCCUUCCCCAAUGAGUCUUUUCCUACUAAACAUUAAAUCUGAUUAUUUUUUUAGCUUCUAUUCCCUUAAUUGUUUUAGCGCAAAUUCACAUUCUAUUAAUUUGCAGUUACUCUUGGCCUGGCUAUACAAUUGUAUCCAGUGUCUUUUCUUCCCUACGGGAGUCACUGGAAUGGGACUGUUGUGAUCAGACAGACACAUCCCCAAGGGUGGGAUUUUAGUCUCUUCUCUCCAACUGCAUAUUUUCAGAAGCAGGGCAGGAAGCUGGAUCUCCUUGAUCACAUUUUGGGAUCUACCAAGGAAUGGACAGAGAGCAGGAGCCACAUGCUCCUAGUUGUAACAGCAAGGACAGAAUGAAUUUUCUGGAAGCUGGCCAGGCUGAGUGAGUCACAUUCCCAGCCCUGUGAUCCAAUGCCUCCUCCUGCUUCUCCACUCCCUUUGGAGUCCAGUGGGCUGACGCAUGCUCUCCUGCAGCCUGUACUCCUCAGACCUAGAGCUUGGAGCUUGGAGCCCAUAACCCUUCAUCACCCGGAUCUUCUGCUUACUAUUCAACACUACAAGAAGGCAGAGACGUGUGUGCAUGAGCAUGGCUUCCUGUGGGGACCCAGUGCCCACUGCAGCAUUCUCUGGCAAGACCACUGCCUCCCUCAGUCCCAGAUUUAGCGCCUCCACCCCUGCAGGAAAGCUCCUGGGUGAAGGAUCCUACUGGAGGUGACUGUCCAGGGGGCUGCAGGGCAGGGUAUCGGGCCAGGUGGCUUCUCCCGCUCAUCUCCACCCUGUGGUGGGGGCUCUCCUUUCCCAUGCUGCCUCCUCUCCCUAUUCCUUAAACCCUGGGAGCCACCAUCUGGGAGGUGCUUGAAGCCUCAGCUUUGUUGGCCCCUGCUAAGAGUGAGAGGUACUGGCUUUGCUAACGGCUCCUUGAGUGGCAGUAUCACCAUUAUAAGUGAUGUAAGUCACCAACACUUAAUUGAUGUUAUAAACACAAUAUUUAUGAUACAGUUAGGGAAACGAUGUGUUCUCUUAUUCCUAUACAUCAUGGAACACGCAGGGCUCUCUUCAGACCUCUACUUCUCCCUUCUCUGCUGUUCUGGUCACCUCUAUCAAGUCCUCUGCCUGCUCCAGGCCUGGGCAGGCAGAGGGGAGGUGGGCAAUCUGAAAACUCAGGUGAUCUAAAGAGCUGGACAGAGCUUGCAUCAUUUUGGUUUGGUUUUGGAAUGUGUACUGACUU